RNAcentral lists this non-coding RNA (1028 nucleotides) under Trichomonas vaginalis G3. RNAcentral describes it as "Eukaryotic small subunit ribosomal RNA". It matches the Rfam family "Eukaryotic small subunit ribosomal RNA", at positions 611 to 1810 of the family's 1831-position model. The record is from Rfam by way of RNAcentral. Lineage: Eukaryota; Parabasalia; Trichomonadida; Trichomonadidae.
UGUUGCAGUUAAACGCCCGUAGUCUGAAUUGGCCAGCAAUGGUCGUACGUAUUUUUACGUUCACUGUGAACAAAUCAGGACGCUUAGAGUAUGGCCACAUGAAUGACUCAGCGCAGUAUGAAGUCUUUGUUUUCUUCCGAAAACAAGCUCAAUGAGAGCCAUCGGGGGUAGAUCUAUCUCAUGACGAGUGGUGGAAUACUUUGACUCAUGAGAGAGAAGCUGAGGCGAAGGCGUCUACCUAGAGGGUUUCUGUCGAUCAAGGGCGAGAGUAGGAGUAUCCAACAGGAUUAGAGACCCUGGUAGUUCCUACCUUAAACGAUGCCGACAGGAGUUUGUCAUUUGUUAAUGGCAGAAUCUUUGGAGAAAUCAUAGUUCUUGGGCUCUGGGGGAACUACGACCGCAAGGCUGAAACUUGAAGGAAUUGACGGAAGGGCACACCAGGGGUGGAGCCUGUGGCUUAAUUUGAAUCAACACGGGGAAACUUACCAGGACCAGAUGUUUUUUAUGACUGACAGGCUUCGGGUCUUUCAGGAUAUUGUUUUUGGUGGUGCAUGGCCGUUGGUGGUGCGUGGGUUGACCUGUCUAGCGUUGAUUCAGCUAACGAGCGAGAUUAUCGCCAAUUAUUUACUUUGCCGAAGUCCUUCGGUUAAAGUUCUAAUUGGGACUCCCUGCGAUUUUAGCAGGUGGAAGAGGGUAGCAAUAACAGGUCCGUGAUGCCCUUUAGAUGCUCUGGGCUGCACGCGUGCUACAAUGUUAGGAUCAAUAGGACUGCGAGCCUGAGAGGGUGCGCUACUCUUAUAAUCCCUAACGUAGUUGGGAUUGACGUUUGUAAUCAGCGUCAUGAACCAGGAAUCCCUUGUAAAUGUGUGUCAACAACGCACGUUGAAUACGUCCCUGCCCUUUGUACACACCGCCCGUCGCUCCUACCGAUUGGAUGACUCCGUGAAAUCACCGGAUGCUUACGAGCAGAAAGUGAUUAAAUCACGUUAUCUAGAGGAAGGAGAAGUCGUAACAGGGUAACGGUAGGU